RNAcentral lists this ribosomal RNA (506 nucleotides) under uncultured bacterium. RNAcentral describes it as "partial 16S ribosomal RNA". It matches the Rfam family "Bacterial small subunit ribosomal RNA", at positions 29 to 523 of the family's 1533-position model. The record is from RNAcentral.
AGUGAACGCUGGCGGUAGGCCUAACACAUGCAAGUCGAACGGCAGCACAGGAGAGCUUGCUCUCUGGGUGGCGAGUGGCGGACGGGUGGGGAAUACAUCGGAAUCUACUCUGUCGUGGGGGAUAACGUAGGGAAACUUACGCUAAUACCGCAUAGGACCUACGGGUGAAAGCAGGGGACCUUCGGCCCUUGCGCGAUUGAAUGAGCCGAUGUCGGAUGAGCUAGUUGGCGGGGUAAAGGCCCACCAAGGCGACGAUCCGUAGCUGGUCUGAGAGGAUGAUCAGCCACACUGGAACUGAGACACGGUCCAGACUCCUACGGGAGGCAGCAGUGGGGAAUAUUGGACAAUGGGCGCAAGCCUGAUCCAGCCAUACCGCGUGGGUGAAGAAGGCCUUCGGGUUGUAAAGCCCUUUUGUUGGGAAAGAAAUCCAGCUGGCUAAUACCCGGUUGGGAUGACGGUACCCAAAGAAUAAGCACCGGCUAACUUCGUGCCAGCCGCCGCCGUAA